GUACACUCCUACGGGAGGCAGCAGUGGGGAAUUUUGGACAAUGGGCGAAAGCCUGAUCCAGCAAUGCCGCGUGAGUGAAGAAGGCCUUCGGGUUGUAAAGCUCUUUUGUCAGGGAAGAAACGGUGAAAGCUAAUAUCUUUUGCUAAUGACGGUCCCUGAAGAAUAAGCACCGGCUAACUACGUGCCAGCAGCCGCGGUAAUACGUAGGGUGCAAGCGUUAAUCGGAAUUACUGGGCGUAAAGCGUGCGCAGGCGGUUUUGUAAGUCUGAUGUGAAAUCCCCGGGCUCAACCUGGGAAUUGCAUUGGAGACUGCAAGGCUAGAAUCUGGCAGAGGGGGGUAGAAUUCCACGUGUAGCAGUGAAAUGCGUAGAUAUGUGGAGGAACACCGAUGGCGAAGGCAGCCCCCUGGGUCAAGAUUGACGCUCAUGCACGAAAGCGUGGGGAGCAAACAGGAGUAGAUACCCGAGUAGUCCCAUGA
RNAcentral lists this ribosomal RNA (478 nucleotides) under uncultured organism. Its description in RNAcentral is "partial 16S ribosomal RNA". It matches the Rfam family "Bacterial small subunit ribosomal RNA", at positions 331 to 800 of the family's 1533-position model. The record is from RNAcentral.